AAGAUGAGAGCUUGUCAAGAUAGCCAAGGAGACUGUCUGACAACUACUCCGUAUUUGAUUGAGAAAAACUCUCAAUCAAAAGAUCGAGAAAUAAGCAGGCAAGUCAUCCUUAGCUACCAAACAAUAAACAUAUAACA
Spinacia oleracea (spinach) is the source of this 137-nucleotide non-coding RNA. NCBI's taxonomy places the organism in Eukaryota, Viridiplantae, Streptophyta, Magnoliopsida, Caryophyllales, Amaranthaceae. The record is from Rfam.